Molecule: long non-coding RNA, 1551 nt
Organism: Populus trichocarpa (black cottonwood)
Lineage: Eukaryota; Viridiplantae; Streptophyta; Magnoliopsida; Malpighiales; Salicaceae
Exons: 5
Source: RefSeq, a predicted model, not a curated record
UGCGAGUGGUGCCACUCGCAACGCCGGCUCUAUAUUGUGCGCAAAAAUUUGUAGAGGGGAAAUAGGCUGGCCGAGUGUUGACGCUGCUUACUUUGCAGAAAUCGUUUGUCUGGGACUCCCUAUUUGACCCACCUCUGAAAUCUAGCCCAAGUUUAUUUUAUUUGAACUAGGUACAUGGCAGGAGAUCAAGACUUCUAAAACAUUUGCUAUCCUUGUUACCGGAUUACGAGCAAAAGAAAACAAAAAAGGAUUUAUAGGACAAACUUCAAUUCAACCAAAGAAGCAAGGAGAAGCCUUAUUUUAACGGUGAAGCGUUUUUUCAGGUAUGGAUUAGGCAAAGCAGCUAUCAGAUAAAUAGUUUCUUCAAAUAAGUCAUAUAAGAAUAUCUUUUUUAUAUAAAAAAACAGAGUUGCUUUUUUUUUUGUUGUAUUCCUUGGCGAAAGUGGUCCUUCCACCUAUAACUAGCUUCGAAUCGACUAGGAAUUAAAAGCAUUAAUGCUAGUAGAAGAAGUCGACGGCCUUGUCUGCAACUGUGGAAUCAAAGGUCAAUACUCUCCACAAAUGUUUUUCUUUUUUUAAUCUGUGAUCAUCGUACGAUGUGGAUUGAUGAUGCUGCCCUUUUCUCCUUUGAGACAUCAGCAAAUGGGGGUGUUUUACUUUUGCGUUCAAAAAUUUCAUCCAUCGAUUUGGAUUGUGGCUGUAAAGUGUAACCCCCGGCAGUAAGGAUUAGGGGGUCCCAAAUAUAUGAGAAGAAUAUACCGACGUCUAUUGCAAACCAAUCUGUAUCCGCCACAUCAUCAUGCACAAUCUACAAUUAUAUCAAAAAGAAAUCUCAAUGCGAUAGGAGACGACCAAAUCUCCAAAUCAUUGACAUCCUGUUGGCAAUGCAACGAGGGAAUCCUUAGUAACGCUGACAACUCCGGGCUGGUGCAGUCUUCGAGCCUUGGCAUGGUUUGCUAAAACAUCUACGCAUAGUUAUGAUACCCAGCUAAUAAAGGUAACUAAAGAGGGGAUUCUAGAUCUAAAAGCAUGCACUUGGAGCUGAAUUGAUGCAGGCAUGACCAGAAACAAUUUCCUUUCUACAGACAUGGAAAAUGACAUUACUCAACAAGUCGCUAGCAUCAAAAGAAUCUUACGUGCGCACUUCCAAGAUUAGGGCUAGCUACCGUCUUCUUGCGCUGUAUGGAGAAACUAAACAAGCAGCAAUAUGUACGAGACAUUGCUGAGGGAGAUGACAUGCACGCAUCAUAUCAUAUAUAACUACAAAUCGACUACAGCUUAUAAAUGGCAAUUCAUGACUGUCAAUUAACAACAUAUUUUGUGCACUGGAUUUUGAAUGGUGCAUACAUACCAAGACUAUAAAAUAGUAGCGCUAGUAAUGUCCUGUCAGCGAGUCAUUUUAUGUGUAUCUUUUGUCGUGUAACAGCUAGCCGUGUUGCGGCAAAUCAAUAGUUACAAAUUACUAAGCAUAUAUAGAAGACGACAAAAGUUCAUAUAUACAAGGGUCAAGGCCCAUAAUAAUAUUAAUAGGGAAAUUCAUUGGAUAUGAAA